GGAGGGUUAGCCAAGUGGUUACGGCAACGGUUUGCUAAACCGUGUACCCCAAAAGGGUACCGUGGGUUCGAUUCCCACACCCUCCGCCA
RNAcentral lists this transfer RNA (89 nucleotides) under Bradyrhizobium sp. Its description in RNAcentral is "tRNA-Ser". It matches the Rfam family "tRNA". Rfam says of the family: Transfer RNA (tRNA) molecules are approximately 80 nucleotides in length. Their secondary structure includes four short double-helical elements and three loops (D, anti-codon, and T loops). Further hydrogen bonds mediate the characteristic L-shaped molecular structure. tRNAs have two regions of fundamental functional importance: the anti-codon, which is responsible for specific mRNA codon recognition, and the 3' end, to which the tRNAs corresponding amino acid is attached (by aminoacyl-tRNA synthetases). tRNAs cope with the degeneracy of the genetic code in two manners: having more than one tRNA (with a specific anti-codon) for a particular amino acid; and 'wobble' base-pairing, i.e. permitting non-standard base-pairing at the 3rd anti-codon position. The record is from RNAcentral. RNAcentral also lists the same sequence under 3 other names. Lineage: Bacteria; Pseudomonadati; Pseudomonadota; Alphaproteobacteria; Hyphomicrobiales; Nitrobacteraceae.